RNAcentral lists this transfer RNA (73 nucleotides) under Acidobacteriota bacterium. RNAcentral describes it as "Acidobacteria bacterium tRNA-Val". It matches the Rfam family "tRNA". Rfam says of the family: Transfer RNA (tRNA) molecules are approximately 80 nucleotides in length. Their secondary structure includes four short double-helical elements and three loops (D, anti-codon, and T loops). RNAcentral also lists the same sequence under 1 other name. The record is from RNAcentral. Lineage: Bacteria; Pseudomonadati; Acidobacteriota.
GGGAUCGUAGCUCAGUUGGAAGAGCGCCUGCUUCACACGCAGGAGGUCAUCGGUUCGAGCCCGGUCGGUCCCA